This 301-nucleotide ribosomal RNA is filed under the name uncultured bacterium. RNAcentral describes it as "partial 16S ribosomal RNA". It matches the Rfam family "Bacterial small subunit ribosomal RNA", at positions 509 to 808 of the family's 1533-position model. The record is from RNAcentral.
CAGUCGCCGCGGGAAUACGAAGGGGGCUAGCGUUGUUCGGAUUUACUGGGCGUAAAGGGUGCGUAGGCGGACUGAUAAGUCAGGGGUGAAAUCCCAAGGCUCAACCUUGGAACUGCCUUUGAUACUGUUAGUCUUGAGUUCGAGAGAGGUGAGUGGAACUGCGAGUGUAGAGGUGAAAUUCGUAGAUAUUCGCAAGAACACCAGUGGCGAAGGCGGCUCACUGGCUCGAAACUGACGCUGAGGCACGAAAGCGUGGGGAGCAAACAGGAUUAGAUACCGGGUAGUCCCUGUCUCUUAUACA